AUGAACUCCGGCGCCACUGCCGCCGUAGCGCAGAACCGACGCACGCGCAGCCGUCCGCCGUCGGCCGCCUCCUCCCGCAAGUCAGAUGAUCCCUCCGCCGCUGUCGCCAACGGAAACGGGAAGGCCCCCUCCAAGCCCACCUCUCCCAACCACGUCGCAGGGGAGAGGACGGUCAAGAAGCUGCGGCUGUCGAAGGCGCUGACGAUCCCGGAGGGGACGACGGUGUCAGAGGCGUGCCGGCGGAUGGCGGCCAGGCGGGUCGACGCCGUGCUGCUCACCGACGUCAACGGCCUCCUCUCCGGCAUUGUCACCGACAAGGACAUAGCCACAAGGGUUAUUGCCGAGGGGCUGCGGGUUGAGCAAACAAUCAUAUCCAAGAUCAUGACACGCAGCCCUCAUUAUGUCACAGCUGACACACUUGCUAUCGAGGCACUACAGAAAAUGGUCCAAGGGAAAUUUAGACACCUUCCUGUGGUUGAUAAUGGUGAGGUUAUUGCCAUGCUGGACAUUGCAAAAUGCCUCUAUGAUGCAAUAUCAAGACUGGAGAAGGCAGCAGAACAAGGAAGUGCACUUGCAGCUGCUGUAGAAGGGGUUGAGCGCCAAUUCGGUAGCAACUUCUCAGCUCCUUCCACUUUAAUAGAAACUAUAAGAGAACGGAUGUUUAAACCUUCUUUGUCAACCAUUAUCACGGAAAGCACAAAAGUAGCGAUUGUUUCUCCUUCAGAUCCUGUUUAUGUAGCCGCCCAAAAAAUGCGUGAACUACGUGUUAAUUCAGUGGUUAUAACUACCGGAAAUUUGCUGCAAGGGAUCUUUACCUCAAAGGAUGUGCUUAUGCGUGUUGUGGCACAAAAUCUUUCUCCCGAAUUAACUCUAGUAGAAAAGGUAAUGACUGCACACCCUGAUUGUGCUACAUUGGACACGUCAAUUCUGGACGCAUUACAUAUAAUGCAUGAUGGCAAAUUCUUGCAUAUUCCUGUUGUUGAUGGAGAUGGUAGAGUUGUUGCUUGUUUGGAUGUUCUGCAACUUACCCAGGCAGCCAUUUCUAUGGCUGAAGGAGGUUCUGGAGCUGCAAAUGAUGUAGCAAACACAAUGAUGCAGAAGUUCUGGGACUCUGCUCUUGCUUUGGAGCCUCCAGAUGAGGAAUUUGAUAGCCAGAGUGAAAUAUCCUUAGUGAUGCCGUCAGAGGUCGGAGAUGGCAGGAGUAGCAUUUAUCCUGCUGCUGUUGGCAAUUCUUUUGCCUUCAAGCUUCAGGACAAGAAGGGACGUAUGCAUAGAUUUACAUGCGGUUCUGAGAGUUUAGAUGAGCUUAUGUCUUCUAUAACACAAAGAUUAGGCACUGGUGGUGAAAAGGGCCCAAUUCAACUUUUGUAUGACGAUGAUGAAGGUGAUAGGGUGCUGCUUACUACAGAUUCUGAUCUUGCCGGUGCUGUUCUCAAUGCCAAAUCAUCCGGAUUGAAGGUCCUGAGGUUGCACAUUGACAACUCGGAUUCCAGUUCUGAAGUUAAAAAGCAAUUGCCGGAGCUAGUGCCUCUCCAAAAAAGUCAGUUGAUGCCUGCUCAUUACGGGCUAAUGGCUGGCGCUAUUGCCCUGACAGGCGUCGUGCUCGUGGUUUACUUGAAGCGCUCAAAAGUGUGA
Molecule: ribosomal RNA, 1635 nt
Filed under: Triticum aestivum (bread wheat)
Lineage: Eukaryota; Viridiplantae; Streptophyta; Magnoliopsida; Poales; Poaceae
Description: partial small subunit ribosomal RNA
Source: RNAcentral